GACAGUGUAGCUCAGUGGUAGAGUGCAUGCUUAGCAUGCGCAAGGUCCUGGGUUCAAUCCCCAGUACUUCCA
Molecule: transfer RNA, 72 nt
Filed under: Camelus bactrianus (Bactrian camel)
Lineage: Eukaryota; Metazoa; Chordata; Mammalia; Artiodactyla; Camelidae
Also listed under: 2 other names
Rfam family: tRNA
About the family: Transfer RNA (tRNA) molecules are approximately 80 nucleotides in length. Their secondary structure includes four short double-helical elements and three loops (D, anti-codon, and T loops).
Source: Rfam by way of RNAcentral